UACAUCUUGGUGUAUGGUGCACUUUAGCUUUUGAUGCUUGGCGGUGAUAGUUUGACUCUGUCGGAUGUAA
RNAcentral lists this transfer RNA (70 nucleotides) under Prorhinotermes inopinatus. RNAcentral's name for it is "tRNA-Gln". The record is from RNAcentral. Lineage: Eukaryota; Metazoa; Arthropoda; Insecta; Blattodea; Rhinotermitidae.